RNAcentral lists this ribosomal RNA (253 nucleotides) under uncultured bacterium. Its description in RNAcentral is "partial 16S ribosomal RNA". It matches the Rfam family "Bacterial small subunit ribosomal RNA", at positions 524 to 776 of the family's 1533-position model. The record is from RNAcentral.
UACGAAGGAUUCGAGCGUUAUCCGGAUUUAUUGGGUUUAAAGGGUGCGUAGGUGGACUAAUAAGUCAGUGGUGAAAGCCCGGAGCUCAACUCCGGAACUGCCAUUGAUACUGUUAGUCUUGAGUACAGUUGAGGUGGGCGGAAUGUGUCAUGUAGCGGUGAAAUGCUUAGAUAUAACACAGAACACCGAUUGCGAAGGCAGCUCACUAAGCUGUAACUGACACUGAGGCACGAAAGCGUGGGGAGCAAACAGG